This 483-nucleotide ribosomal RNA is filed under the name uncultured bacterium. RNAcentral's name for it is "bacterial SSU rRNA". It matches the Rfam family "Bacterial small subunit ribosomal RNA", at positions 32 to 524 of the family's 1533-position model. The record is from RNAcentral.
AAUCAACGCUGGCGGCGUGCCUCAGACAUGCAAGUCGAACGAUUAAAGCUCCCUUCGGGGAGUGCAUAGAGUGGCGCACGGGUGAGUAACACGUAAGUAAUCUACCUUUGAGUGGGGAAUAACGUUCGGAAACGGACGCUAAUACCGCAUAAUGCAGCGGCAUCGCAAGAUGACAGUUGUUAAAGGAGCAAUCCGCUUAAAGAGGAGCUUGCGGCAGAUUAGCUUGUUGGUAAGGUAACGGCUUACCAAGGCUACGAUCUGUAUCCGGUCUAAGAGGACGGUCGGACACACUGACACUGAAUAACGGGUCAGACUCCUACGGGAGGCAGCAGUCGGGAAUUUGGGCAAUGGGCGAAAGCCUGACCCAGCAACGCCGCGUGAAGGAUGAAGUAUUUCGGUAUGUAAACUUCGAAAGAAUAGGAAGAAUAAAUGACGGUACUAUUUAUAAGCUCCGGCUAACUACGUGCCAGCCGCCGCCGUAAU